Molecule: ribosomal RNA, 515 nt
Filed under: uncultured bacterium
Lineage: Bacteria
Description: partial 16S ribosomal RNA
Rfam family: Bacterial small subunit ribosomal RNA
Source: RNAcentral
UGGGGAAUUUUGGACAAUGGGCGAAAGCCUGAUCCAGCAAUGCCGCGUGUGUGAAGAAGGCCUUCGGGUUGUAAAGCACUUUUGUCCGGAAAGAAAUCCCUGGCUCUAAUACAGUCGGGGGAUGACGGUACCGGAAGAAUAAGCACCGGCUAACUACGUGCCAGCAGCCGCGGUAAUACGUACGGCAAGCGUUAAUCGGAAUUACUGGGCGUAAAGCGUGCGCAGGCGGUUUGCUAAGACCGAUGUGAAAUCCCCGGGCUCAACCUGGGAACUGCAUUGGUGACUGGCAGGCUAGAGUAUGGCAGAGGGGGGUAGAAUUCCGACGUGUAGCAGUGAAAUGCGUAGAGAUGUGGAGGAAUACCGAUGGCGAAGGCAGCCCCUGGGCCAAUACUGACGCUCAUGCACGAAAGCCGUGGGGAGCAAACAGGAUUAGAUACCCUGGUAGUCCACGCCCUAAACGAUGUCAACUAGUUGUUGGGGAUUCAUUUCCUUAGUAACGUAGCUAACGCGUGAAG